GCAAGUCGAACGGAAAGUGCUCUUCGGAGUGACUCGAGUGGCGAACGGGUGAGUAACACGUGGGUGAUCUGCCCUGCACUUUGGGAUAAGCCUGGGAAACUGGGUCUAAUACCGGAUAGGACCACGGCCUUCAUGGGUUGUGGUGGAAAGCUUUUGCGGUGUGGGAUGGGCCCGCGGCCUAUCAGCUUGUUGGUGGGGUAAUGGCCUACCAAGGCGACGACGGGUAGCCGGCCUGAGAGGGUGUCCGGCCACACUGGGACUGAGAUACGGCCCAGACUCCUACGGGAGGCAGCAGUGGGGAAUAUUGCACAAUGGGCGCAAGCCUGAUGCAGCGACGCCGCGUGAGGGAUGACGGCCUUCGGGUUGUAAACCUCUUUCAGUAGGGACGAAGCGCAAGUGACGGUACCUAUAGAAGAAGCACCGGCCAACUACGUGCCAGCAGCCGCGGUAAUACGUAGGGUGCGAGCGUUGUCCGGAAUUACUGGGCGUAAAGAGCUCGUAGGUGGUUUGUCGCGUUGUUCGUGAAAACUCACA
Molecule: ribosomal RNA, 534 nt
Filed under: uncultured Mycobacterium sp.
Lineage: Bacteria; Bacillati; Actinomycetota; Actinomycetes; Mycobacteriales; Mycobacteriaceae
Description: bacterial SSU rRNA
Rfam family: Bacterial small subunit ribosomal RNA
Source: RNAcentral